This 482-nucleotide ribosomal RNA is filed under the name uncultured bacterium. Its description in RNAcentral is "partial 16S ribosomal RNA". It matches the Rfam family "Bacterial small subunit ribosomal RNA", at positions 30 to 507 of the family's 1533-position model. The record is from RNAcentral.
AUUGAACGCUGGCGGCAUGAUUUACACAUGCAAGUCGAACGGUAACAGGCCGCAAGGUGCUGACGAGUGGCGAACGGGUGAGUAAUGCAUCGGAACGUGCCCAGUCGUGGGGGAUAACUACUCGAAAGAGUAGCUAAUACCGCAUACGAUCUAUGGAUGAAAGCGGGGGACCGUAAGGCCUCGCGCGAUUGGAGCGGCCGAUGUCAGAUUAGGUAGUUGGUGGGGUAAAGGCUCACCAAGCCAACGAUCUGCAGCUGGUCUGAGAGGACGACCAGCCACACUGGGACUGAGACACGGCCCAGACUCCUACGGGAGGCAGCAGUGGGGAAUUUUGGACAAUGGGCGCAAGCCUGAUCCAGCAAUGCCGCGUGCAGGAAGAAGGCCUUCGGGUUGUAAACUGCUUUUGUACGGAACGAAACGGCUCUGGUUAAUACCCGGGGCUAAUGACGGUACCGUAAGAAUAAGCACCGGCUAACUACGUG